Molecule: ribosomal RNA, 431 nt
Filed under: uncultured bacterium
Lineage: Bacteria
Description: bacterial SSU rRNA
Rfam family: Bacterial small subunit ribosomal RNA
Source: RNAcentral
GUUGGGAAUAUUGGACAAUGGGGGAACCCCUGAUCCAGCAAUCCCGCGUGAGUGAUGAAGGCCUUCGGGUCGUAAAGCUCUUUUAGUAGGGACGAAGGGAAACUUGACGGUACCUACAGAAAAAGCACCGGCUAACUCUGUGCCAGCAGCCGCGGUAAUACAGAGGGUGCAAGCGUUGUUCGGAAUCAUUGGGCGUAAAGCGCGUGUAGGUGGCUCUUUAAGUCUGGUGUGAAAUCCCGGGGCUCAACCCCGGAAGUGCACUGGAUACUGGAGAGCUAGAGGGCGAGAGAGGAGAUUGGAAUUCAUGGUGUAGGGGUGAAAUCCGUAGAUAUCAUGAGGAACAUCUGUGGCGAAGGCGAAUCUCUGGCUCGUUUCUGACACUGAGACGCGAAAGCGUGGGGAGCAAACAGGAUUAGAAACCCUAGUAGUCC